AGCAGUGUGGCUCAGUGCGAAGAGCACGGGCUUGGGAGUCAGAGGUCAUAGGUUCGAAUCCUGACUCUGCCA
This 72-nucleotide transfer RNA is filed under the name Ornithorhynchus anatinus (platypus). It matches the Rfam family "tRNA". From Rfam's summary of the family: Transfer RNA (tRNA) molecules are approximately 80 nucleotides in length. Their secondary structure includes four short double-helical elements and three loops (D, anti-codon, and T loops). The record is from Rfam by way of RNAcentral. Lineage: Eukaryota; Metazoa; Chordata; Mammalia; Monotremata; Ornithorhynchidae.